This 1422-nucleotide long non-coding RNA is filed under the name Trifolium pratense (red clover). Its description in RNAcentral is "long non-coding RNA (TPRA_LNC002921)". Lineage: Eukaryota; Viridiplantae; Streptophyta; Magnoliopsida; Fabales; Fabaceae. The record is from RNAcentral.
GGUAUUACUGUCAUAUUUGGCAUAAAAUUGUAUCCAUCCUCCUCACAGAAAAAUUGAAACUCUACCGAAAAUGCCCUUUUGCAACUUUAUGCCUUCUCAACCCACAAAAUUUAAAAUCCGGAUCACAUAAGUAUAAGAAAGGAAAUUCAAAUAUGAAGGGCGUUUUUGGUAUUGCAUAAUAGAUUUACACACUGACCAAGAUCAGUUUGAUGGGACAAAAUGGAGUUUGAAGUAGUAUUGUAUUGCCUUUUAGGAAGACAAGUACAAUCACCUUUUUCAUUUUUCAUAAACUUUUCUUCAGCGUUUUUCUUCUUUUCUUCUUUGCUGAGGUUUGUUCUUCGUCAAUCCUCAACUUUUUCCUUUGUCUUUCUUCAUCCUUAUUCAUCCUUAUGCAUCGAUUUUUAAUAGUUUAUCCACUUAUGUUCAUGUUGUUGUGUGUAGAAGAAAUGAUGCAAGGCAAACAUCAAAAGGUUUUAUUUUUCUAUUACCCACUCAUAUCUUUCUGCAUUCUAUUUUAUAGUUGAUUCACUGAUUCAUCCUCCUUCUGAUUUUUUUGUAAUUUUUUUUUAUUUUUUUAGAAGCAAGCAGUAUCCAUGGAGACUGACAAGACCAAGGUCCUUUAAACAAUGAUUAAUGUUCUUUUUCGUUUUUGUUAUAUAAAUAUUGAUUUUUCAAAAUGUGAUAUUUAUCUACAAACUAUGAAGUUGGUUUUUUGCCAAGUUAUUGUUUAUUAACCUACAAGAUUGCAUUUUUUUGUUUGUAGAAGCAAGAAACUGUGAUUGAAAUUGAGAAGACUAGGGUAAGUAUUUGUUAGAUUUAUUUGUUUUGAACACCGAUACAUGUUUUUUUAGCGUUUUUGUUAUGUCAUUCUUCAUUUGUCAAGUUAUUAUCUUUAAUCUUUAAUAACCUGUGAAGUAUAAUUUUUUUGGUCAUAGAAACAAGCAACACCGAUGGAAACUGAGAAGACUAAGGUAAGUUUUUGUCAACUGAUACAUGUAUUUUUUAGCUUAUUUUAUAUUGUUCUUCAUUUGUCAACUGAUGAGGUAUUUAUCUACAAACUAUCAAGUUUUGAUUUUGUCAAGUUAUUGUUUAUUAACCUACCAAAAAUCAUUUUUAUUUUGGCCUCUAAGAAAACAACACCCAUCGAAACUCAGAAGACAAAGGUAACUAUUUAUAUGAUUUAACUGUGGUUGUUUAAAACUUUUUUAAAAUUUCUUAUAUUGACCUAUAAAUUUAUUCAUUUUUUUUGAGUAGAACGAAACAACAACUAUAGAAGCUGAUAAGAUUAAGGUAACUAUUAUUUAGAUUUCUGUAUUUUUUCAAGUAUUACAUGUGAUUUUCAACCAUUCUUUUACCUCAUGUUGUCUUAUUUUGUAGAAACAAAAGGUUGGUAGCUCGCUGAUAGAAGCUGAAAAAUCCAAG